GUAGGGUGCAAGCGUUAAUCGGAAUUACUGGGGCGAAAGCGUGCGCAGGCGGUUUUGUAAGUCUGACGUGAAAUCCCCGGGCUCAACCUGGGAAUUGCGUUGGAGACUGCAAGGCUAGAAUCUGGCAGAGGGGGGUAGAAUUCCACGUGUAGCAGUGAAAUGCGUAGAUAUGUGGAGGAACACCGAUGGCGAAGGCAGCCCCCUGGGCUAAGAUUGACGCUCAUGCACGAAAGCGUGGGGAGCAAACAGGAUUAGAUACCCUGGUAGUCCACGCCCUAAACGAUGUCUACUAGUUGUCGGGUCUUAAUUGACUUGGUAACGCAGCUAACGCGUGAAGUAGACCGCCUGGGGAGUACGGUC
RNAcentral lists this ribosomal RNA (360 nucleotides) under uncultured organism. RNAcentral's name for it is "bacterial SSU rRNA". It matches the Rfam family "Bacterial small subunit ribosomal RNA", at positions 527 to 887 of the family's 1533-position model. The record is from RNAcentral.